Molecule: transfer RNA, 72 nt
Filed under: Bittarella massiliensis (ex Durand et al. 2017)
Lineage: Bacteria; Bacillati; Bacillota; Clostridia; Eubacteriales; Oscillospiraceae
Also listed under: 3 other names
Description: tRNA-Glu
Rfam family: tRNA
About the family: Transfer RNA (tRNA) molecules are approximately 80 nucleotides in length. Their secondary structure includes four short double-helical elements and three loops (D, anti-codon, and T loops).
Source: RNAcentral
CGGCCCGUUGGUCAAGCGGUUAAGACACCGGCCUCUCACGCCGGUAACGGGGGUUCGAUCCUCCAGUGCUGA